RNAcentral lists this ribosomal RNA (558 nucleotides) under uncultured archaeon. RNAcentral describes it as "bacterial SSU rRNA". It matches the Rfam family "Archaeal small subunit ribosomal RNA", at positions 322 to 882 of the family's 1478-position model. The record is from RNAcentral.
AUUACGGGGUGCAGCAGGCGCGAAAACUCCGCAAUGCGCGAAAGCGUGACGGGGCUACCCCGAGUGCCGUCCGCUGAGGAUGGCUUUUCCCCGGUGUAAUGAGCCGGAGGAAUAAGGAGAGGGCAAGUCUGGUGUCAGCCGCCGCGGUAAUACCAGCUCUCCGAGUGGUAGGGAUGAUUAUUGGGCUUAAAGCGUCCGUAGCCGGCUUAGCAAGCCUCCUGUUGAAUUCAGCGACCUAAUCGUUGAGCCGCGGGAGACACUACUAGGCUAGGAGGCGGGAGAGGCCGACGGUAUUCUCGGGGUAGGGGUGAAAUCCUAUAAUCCCGGGAGGACCACCAGUGGCGAAGGCUGUCGGCUAGAACGCGCUCGACGGUGAGGGACGAAAGCUGGGGGAGCAAACCGGAUUAGAUACCCGGGUAGUCCCAGCUGUAAACGAUGCGGGCUAGGUGUUGGGGUGGCUACGAGCCACUUCAGUGCCGCAGGGAAGCCAUUAAGCCCGCCGCCUGGGGAGUACGGCCGCAAGGCUGAAACUUAAAGGAAUUGGCGGGGGAGCACAAU